RNAcentral lists this ribosomal RNA (497 nucleotides) under uncultured bacterium. RNAcentral's name for it is "partial 16S ribosomal RNA". It matches the Rfam family "Bacterial small subunit ribosomal RNA", at positions 28 to 507 of the family's 1533-position model. The record is from RNAcentral.
GAUGAACGCUGGCGGCGUGCCUAAUACAUGCAAGUCGAGCGAACGGACGAGAAGCUUGCUUCUCUGAUGUUAGCGGCGGACGGGUGAGUAACACGUGGAUAACCUACCUAUAAGACUGGGAUAACUUCGGGAAACCGUAGCUAAUACCGGAUAAUAUUUUGAACCGCAUGGUUCAAAAGUGAAAGACGGUCUUGCUGUCACUUAUAGAUGGAUCCGCGCUGCAUUAGAUAGUUGGUAAGGUAACGGCUUACCAAGGCAACGAUGCAUAGCCGACCUGAGAGGGUGAUCGGCCACACUGGAACUGAGACACGGUCCAGACUCCUACGGGAGGCAGCAGUAGGGAAUCUUCCGCAAUGGGCGAAAGCCUGACGGAGCAACGCCGCGUGAGUGAUGAAGGUCUUCGGAUCGUAAAACUCUGUUAUUAGGGAAGAACAUAUGUGUAAGUAAAUGUGCACAUCUUGACGGUACCUAAUCAGAAAGCCACGGCUAACUACGUG